Molecule: unclassified non-coding RNA, 338 nt
Filed under: fungal sp.
Lineage: Eukaryota; Fungi
Description: partial internal transcribed spacer region
Rfam family: Eukaryotic small subunit ribosomal RNA (bases 1-46)
Source: RNAcentral
AAGUCGUAACAAGGUUUCCGUAGGUGAACCUGCGGAAGGAUCAUUAACACGUAUCCAACGUUAAACCCCCCCGUGAACCUUCAUUGUGCUCCCCCAUUCCGUUAGGACGCGGCAAUCCCUGGUAAAUCAUCGCCGAACAGUUUUGAUUCAGGGACCUCUGCAUGGAGUGGGCAGCAGCGCGAGGCAAGUGACCUGGCAUUCCUCUGCUUGUUGGUGUCUGAAAGUGUCACUAGCUCUGAGUAACAAUCGCUAGAGGCCGACACGGCCGGCGACCGGGUCGCUGGGCUCACGCCCCCCUAUCACCUUUGCAUGAAAAAACAAUGGAUAUCUUGGUUCUC